CCUACGGGGGGCUGCAGUGGGGAAUAUUGCACAAUGGGGGAAACCCUGAUGCAGCGACGCCGCGUGAGUGAAGAAGUAUUUCGGUACGUAAAGCUCUAUCAGCAGGGAAGAAAAUGACGGUACCUGACUAAGAAGCCCCGGCUAACUACGUGCCAGCAGCCGCGGUAAUGCGGAGGAUGCGAGCGUUAUCCGGAUUUAUUGGGUUUAAAGGGUGCGCAGGCGGGCUGUUAAGCCGGCGGUAAAAAUUCAGGGCUCAACCCUGUCGAGCCGUCGGAACUGGCAGUCUUGAGUGGGCGAGAAGUAUGCGGAAUGCGUGGUGUAGCGGUGAAAUGCAUAGAUAUCACGCAGAACGCCGAUUGCGAAGGCAGCAUACCGGCGCCCAACUGACGCUGAGGCACGAAAGCGUGGGGAUCGAACAGGAUUAGAUACCCGAGUAGUC
Molecule: ribosomal RNA, 439 nt
Filed under: uncultured bacterium
Lineage: Bacteria
Description: partial 16S ribosomal RNA
Rfam family: Bacterial small subunit ribosomal RNA
Source: RNAcentral